Small nucleolar RNA from Arabis alpina (gray rockcress), 137 nucleotides. It matches the Rfam family "small nucleolar RNA snoR134". NCBI's taxonomy places the organism in Eukaryota, Viridiplantae, Streptophyta, Magnoliopsida, Brassicales, Brassicaceae. The record is from Rfam.
UUGCAGGAGCCUCCCGGGCUAAUCUGAUAAAAUCACUUGAGGAACUAAGCCCUAAGCUCCUGCUAGAUUAUUGCAGUUUGUGUUGCAGGCUUGCCUUAUUUCUUAGGCUUUUCUGUGUCAAAAAAGCUGCUACAUAA